This 1356-nucleotide long non-coding RNA is filed under the name Salmo salar (Atlantic salmon). Its description in RNAcentral is "lncRNA (ENSSSAG00000088007.1, ENSSSAG00000103949.1)". Lineage: Eukaryota; Metazoa; Chordata; Actinopteri; Salmoniformes; Salmonidae. The record is from RNAcentral.
GUUUCUUUUAUUUGAGUUUAUUUGCACAUCGCUACAACACUGUAUAUACACAUAAUAUCACAUUUGAAAUCUCUUUAUUCUUUUGGAACUUGUGUGAGUGUAAUAUUUACUGUUCACUUUUUAUUGUUUAUUUCACUUGCUUCGGCAGUGUAAACAUGUGUUUCUCAUGCCAAUAAAGCCCCUUAGAGAGAGAGAGAGAGAGAGAAAGAGAUGUAUGUAGAGUGUAAUCUAAUCCUGUCAGUGCAUCUAGUGCAUUUUAGGGACAGCAUCUGUUUGGGAAUUAAGGCUUUCAGUCUCACACAGUGUUACAUUGUGAUUCAGAUGCACUGUGUACUGUAUGCUGCUAUUCUACCAUCCCCUGUCACAUGUCAGUUACACUGUGUCCUGUAUGCUGCUAUUAUACCAUCCCCUGUCACAUGUCAAUUACACUGUGUCCUGUAUGCUGCUAUUAUACCAUCCCCUGUCACAUGUCAAUUACACUGUGUCCUGUAUGCUGCUAUUAUACCAUCCCCUGUCACAUGUCAAUUACACUGUGUCCUGUAUGCUGCUAUUCUACCAUCCCUUGUCACAUGUCAAUUACACUGUGUCCUGUAUGCUGCUAUUCUACCAUCCCCUGUCACAUGUCAGAUACACUGUGUCCUGUAUGUUCCACUCUCUCUUUCUCUCUUUUUGUUGAACACCUCUUAAAUGGAGUAAGAGCGGAUUAUUUGAGGAAGGAGAGGAGUGAGGACGGGGGAUGAGGAAGAGAUGGAGGGGUGAGGAUGAGGAGGAGAUGGAGGCGUGAGGACGGCUGAUGAGGAGGAGAUGGAGGGGUGAGGACGGGGAUGAGGAGGAGAUGGAGGGGUGAGGCCGGGGGAUGAGGACGGGGGAUGAGGAGGAGAUGGAGGGGUGAGGAUGAGGAGGAGAUGGAGGCGUGAGGACGGCUGAUGAGGAGGAGAUGGAGGGGUGAGGACGGGGAUGAGGAGGAGAUGGAGGGGUGAGGACGGGGAUGAGGAGGAGAUGGAGGCGUGAGGACGGCUGAUGAGGAGGAGAUGGAGGGGUGAGGACAGGGAUGAGGAGGAGAUGGAGGGGUGAGGACGGGGAUGAGGAGGAGAUGGAGGUGUGAGGACGGGGGAGGAGAUGGAGGGGUGAGGACGGGGGAGGAGAUGGAGGGGUGAGGAUGGGGGAUGAGGAGGAGAUGGAGGUGUGAGGAUGGGGGGGAUGAGGAGGAGAUGGAGGUGUGAGGAGUGAGGACGGGGGAUGAGGAGGAGUGAGGAUGGGGAGGAUGAGGAGGAGAUGGAGGUGAGAGGAGUGAGGACGGGGAGAGAGGAGAUGGAGGGGUGAGGAUGGGGGAGGAGAUGGAGGGGUGAGGAUGGG